RNAcentral lists this ribosomal RNA (496 nucleotides) under uncultured bacterium. RNAcentral describes it as "partial 16S ribosomal RNA". It matches the Rfam family "Bacterial small subunit ribosomal RNA", at positions 30 to 523 of the family's 1533-position model. The record is from RNAcentral.
AUUGAACGCUGGCGGAAUGCUUUACACAUGCAAGUCGAACGGUAGAGGGGGCAACCCCUCGAGAGUGGCGAACGGGUGAGUAAUAUAUCGGAACGUGCCCAGUCGUGGGGGAUAACGUAGCGAAAGUUACGCUAAUACCGCAUACGAUCUAAGGAUGAAAGCGGGGGAUCGCAUGACCUCGCGCGAUUGGAGCGGCCGAUAUCAGAUUAGGUAGUUGGUGGGGUAAAGGCUCACCAAGCCAACGAUCUGUAGCUGGUCUGAGAGGACGACCAGCCACACUGGAACUGAGACACGGUCCAGACUCCUACGGGAGGAAGCAGUGGGGAAUUUUGGACAAUGGACGCAAGUCUGAUCCAGCCAUUCCGCGUGCAGGAUGAAGGCCCUCGGGUUGUAAACUGCUUUUGUACGGAACGAAAAGGCCUCUCUUAAUACGGGGGGCUCAUGACGGUACCGUAAGAAUAAGCACCGGCUAACUACGUGCCAGCCGCCGCCGUAA